RNAcentral lists this non-coding RNA (28 nucleotides) under Mus musculus (house mouse). Lineage: Eukaryota; Metazoa; Chordata; Mammalia; Rodentia; Muridae. The record is from RNAcentral.
UGCUUGGGUGGAAGCUCUUCUUGUGCAG